UGGGGAAUUUUGGACAAUGGGCGAAAGCCUGAUCCAGCAAUGCCGCGUGUGAAGAAGGCCUUCGGGUUGUAAAGCACUUUUGUCCGGAAAGAAAUGGCUCUGGUUAAUACCUGGGGUCGAUGACGGUACCGGAAGAAUAAGGACCGGCUAACUACGUGCCAGCAGCCGCGGUAAUACGUAGGGUCCAAGCGUUAAUCGGAAUUACUGGGCGUAAAGCGUGCGCAGGCGGUUGUGCAAGACCGAUGUGAAAUCCCCGAGCUUAACUUGGGAAUUGCAUUGGUGACUGCACGGCUAGAGUGUGUCAGAGGGGGGUAGAAUUCCACGUGUAGCAGUGAAAUGCGUAGAGAUGUGGAGGAAUACCGAUGGCGAAGGCAGCCCCCUGGGAUAACACUGACGCUCAUGCACGAAAGCGUGGGGAGCAAACAGGAUUAGAUACCCUGGUAGUCCACGCCCUAAACGAUGUCAACUAGUUGUUGGGGAUUCAUUUCCUUAGUAACGUAGCUAACGCGUGAAGUCGACCGCCUGGGGAGUACGGUCGC
RNAcentral lists this ribosomal RNA (539 nucleotides) under uncultured bacterium. RNAcentral describes it as "partial 16S ribosomal RNA". It matches the Rfam family "Bacterial small subunit ribosomal RNA", at positions 355 to 889 of the family's 1533-position model. The record is from RNAcentral.